Molecule: ribosomal RNA, 1301 nt
Filed under: metagenome
Description: bacterial LSU rRNA
Rfam family: Bacterial large subunit ribosomal RNA
Source: RNAcentral
ACACGACCGUACCGCAAACCGACACUGGUGCGCGAGAUGAGUAUUCUAAGGCGCUUGAGAGAACUCAGGAGAAGGAACUCGGCAAAUUGACACCGUAACUUCGGAAGAAGGUGUGCCUUUAGUAGGUGAAGGGAUUUACUCCUGGAGCCCAAUGAGGUUGCAAAAAAUCGGUGGCUGCGACUGUUUAUUAAAAACACAGCACUCUGCAAACACGAAAGUGGACGUAUAGGGUGUGACGCCUGCCCGGUGCUGGAAGAUUAAAUGAUGGGGUGCAAGCUCUUGAUUGAAGUCCCAGUAAACGGCGGCCGUAACUAUAACGGUCCUAAGGUAGCGAAAUUCCUUGUCGGGUAAGUUCCGACCUGCACGAAUGGCGUAACGAUGGCCACACUGUCUCCUCCUGAGACUCAGCGAAGUUGAAAUGUUUGUGAUGAUGCAAUCUCCCCGCGGAAAGACGGAAAGACCCCAUGAACCUUUACUGUAGCUUUGUAUUGGACUUUGAACAGAUCUGUGUAGGAUAGGUGGGAGGCUUUGAAGCAGGGUCGCUAGAUCUUGUGGAGCCAACGUUGAAAUACCACCCUGGUGUGUUUGAGGUUCUAACCUAGGCCCGUAAUCCGGGUUGGGGACAGUGCAUGGUAGGCAGUUUGACUGGGGCGGUCUCCUCCCAAAGUGUAACGGAGGAGUUCGAAGGUACGCUAGUUACGGUCGGACAUCGUGACGAUAGUGCAAUGGCAUAAGCGUGCUUAACUGCGAGACUGACAAGUCGAGCAGAUGCGAAAGCAGGACAUAGUGAUCCGGUGGUUCUGUAUGGAAGGGCCAUCGCUCAACGGAUAAAAGGUACUCUGGGGAUAACAGGCUGAUACCGCCCAAGAGUUCAUAUCGACGGCGGUGUUUGGCACCUCGAUGUCGGCUCAUCUCAUCCUGGGGCUGUAGCCGGUCCCAAGGGUAUGGCUGUUCGCCAUUUAAAGAGGUACGUGAGCUGGGUUUAAAACGUCGUGAGACAGUUUGGUCCCUAUCUUCCGUGGGCGCUGCAGAUUUGAGGAAGCCUGCUCCUAGUACGAGAGGACCGGAGUGGACGCACCUCUGGUGUAUCGGUUGUCACGCCAGUGGCAUUGCCGAGUAGCUAUGUGCGGAAGAGAUAACCGCUGAAAGCAUCUAAGCGGGAAACUCGUUUCAAGAUGAGAACUGCCGGGGCCUUGAGCCCCCUGAAGAGUCGUUCAAGACCAGGACGUUGAUAGGUCGGGUGUGGAAGCGCAGUAAUGCGUUAAGCUAACCGAUACUAAUUGCUCGUGCGGCUUGACCCU